RNAcentral lists this ribosomal RNA (254 nucleotides) under uncultured bacterium. Its description in RNAcentral is "partial 16S ribosomal RNA". It matches the Rfam family "Bacterial small subunit ribosomal RNA", at positions 524 to 776 of the family's 1533-position model. The record is from RNAcentral.
UACGAAGGGAGCUAGCGUUGUUCGGAAUUACUGGGCGUAAAGGGUGCGUAGGUGGUUCUAUAAGUGAGAUGUGAAAGCCCCGGGCUCAACCUGGGAAAGGCAUUUCAUACUGUAGGACUUGGUGUGCGAGAGGGGAAAGUGGAAUGGCGAGUGGAGCAGUGAAAUGCGUUGAUAUUCGUUGGAACACCAGAGGCGAAGGCGGCUUUCUGGCUCGUAACAGACACUAAAGCACGAAAGCGUGGGGAGCAAACAGG